RNAcentral lists this ribosomal RNA (387 nucleotides) under Choanoflagellata sp. RNAcentral describes it as "partial small subunit ribosomal RNA". It matches the Rfam family "Eukaryotic small subunit ribosomal RNA", at positions 582 to 975 of the family's 1831-position model. Lineage: Eukaryota; Choanoflagellata. The record is from RNAcentral.
AUUCCAGCUCCAAUAGCGUAUAUUAAAGUUGUUGCAGUUAAAAAGCUCGUAGUUGGACUUCUGAUGUGGGACUGCGCCCCGGUAUUUUGCCGUUGGGUGCGGGCUCGCGUCUUCCUCUCGUAGUUGGAUGGUGCACUUAACUGGGUGCCUUCUGAAUAUGGGACCUUUACUUUGAAAAAAUUAGAGUGUUCAAAGCAGGCAAUCGCUUGAAUACAUUAGCAUGGAAUAAUAGAAUAGGACUUUGGUUCUAUUUUGUUGGUUUCUAGGACCGAAGUAAUGAUUAAUAGGGACAGUUGGGGGCAUUAGUAUUUAAUUGUCAGAGGUGAAAUUCUUGGAUUUAUGAAAGACUAACUACUGCGAAAGCAUUUGCCAAGGAUGUUUUCAUCG